This 508-nucleotide ribosomal RNA is filed under the name Opisthonema oglinum (Atlantic thread herring). RNAcentral's name for it is "partial 12S ribosomal RNA". It matches the Rfam family "Bacterial small subunit ribosomal RNA", at positions 794 to 1527 of the family's 1533-position model. The record is from RNAcentral. Lineage: Eukaryota; Metazoa; Chordata; Actinopteri; Clupeiformes; Clupeidae.
GCCCUGCCGUAAACUUAGAUAUUUCAAUACAAUAAAUAUCCGCCCGGGGACUACGAGCGCCAGCUUAAAACCCAAAGGACUUGGCGGUGCUUCAGACCCCCCUAGAGGAGCCUGUUCUAGAACCGAUAACCCCCGUUCAACCUCACUACUCCUUGCUUUUCCCGCCUAUAUACCGCCGUCGCCAGCUUACCCUGUGAAGGCAUCGCAGUAAGCAGAAUGGGCAAUGCCCAAAACGUCAGGUCGAGGUGUAGCGUACGAAGUAGGAAGAAAUGGGCUACAUUAUCUGAAGCAGAUUAUUCACGGAAAGUCACCUGAAAUUAGUGACUCAAAGGUGGAUUUAGCAGUAAGGGGAGAAUAGAGCGCUCUCCUGAAGCCGGCUCUGAAGCGCGCACACACCGCCCGUCACUCUCCCCAACAACAAUUACAACUGAUAAGUAACAAGACAGCAGCUACAAGGGGAGGCAAGUCGUAACAUGGUAAGUGUACCGGAAGGUGCACUUGGAAUAAC